GACGAACGCUGGCGGCGUGCUUAACACAUGCAAGUCGAACGGAAAGGCCCUGCUUUUGUGGGGUGCUCGAGUGGCGAACGGGUGAGUAACACGUGAGUAACCUGCCCUUGACUUUGGGAUAACUUCAGGAAACUGGGGCUAAUACCGGAUAGGAGCUCCUGCUGCAUGGUGGGGGUUGGAAAGUUUCGGCGGUUGGGGAUGGACUCGCGGCUUAUCAGCUUGUUGGUGGGGUAGUGGCUUACCAAGGCUUUGACGGGUAGCCGGCCUGAGAGGGUGACCGGCCAAAAUGGGAAGUGGGAAAGGCCCAGAACCCCAAGGGGAGGAAGAGGUGGGAAAAAUGGAAAAAGGGAGGGAGCCUGAUGGAGCAAAGCCGGGUGGGGGAUGACGGCCUUUGGGGUGUAAAACGCUUUCGCCUGUGACGAAGCGUGAAUGAAGGUAAAGGGUAAAGAAGCACCGGCUAACUACGUG
RNAcentral lists this ribosomal RNA (468 nucleotides) under uncultured bacterium. RNAcentral describes it as "partial 16S ribosomal RNA". It matches the Rfam family "Bacterial small subunit ribosomal RNA", at positions 28 to 507 of the family's 1533-position model. The record is from RNAcentral.